CCCGGUUCUCUUGACUGAGUGCCGNGUCGCGGCCGAAACGUNUACUUUGAAAAAAUUGGAGUGUUCAAAGCAGGCCGUGAGCCUGGACAGCAGAGCAUGGAAUAAUGGAAUAGGACCUCGGUUCUAUUGCGUUGGUUCUCGGAACUCGAGGUAAUGAUUAAGAGGGACUGACGGGGGCAUUCGUAUUGCGGUGUGAGAGGUGAAAUUCUUGGAUCGCCGCAAGACGACCGACUGCGAAAGCAUUUGCCAAGAAUGUUUUCAUUAAUCAAGAACGAAAGUUAGAGGUUCGAAGGCGAUCAGAUACCGCCCUAGUUCUAACCAUAAACGAUGCCGACUGGCGAUCCGCCGGCGUUACUCCAAUGACGCGGCGGNCAGUCUGCGGGAAACCAAAGUCUUUGG
This 399-nucleotide ribosomal RNA is filed under the name Asterias forbesi (Forbes's starfish). RNAcentral's name for it is "SSU rRNA". It matches the Rfam family "Eukaryotic small subunit ribosomal RNA", at positions 711 to 1110 of the family's 1831-position model. The record is from RNAcentral. Lineage: Eukaryota; Metazoa; Echinodermata; Asteroidea; Forcipulatida; Asteriidae.